Molecule: long non-coding RNA, 1087 nt
Filed under: Triticum aestivum (bread wheat)
Lineage: Eukaryota; Viridiplantae; Streptophyta; Magnoliopsida; Poales; Poaceae
Description: long non-coding RNA (TAES_LNC010997)
Source: RNAcentral
UGCAUUUAUACCUUUGUGGAAUUCAACAUGCGAUACCACGGUAAUUAGCAUCAUGUAUUUUUUUUCUGUUAUCACUUUUCAUAAUUCUGUGUGUCAAAACGGCCCUUAGCAUCAUGCAGCGACCGGCUUAAUCCCAUUUCACUUUCAUAUCUUGAACAAGUACUCUUACACAAAAAAAAGAACCAAGUACUCUGGGAAAAAAAUUAUACACGUCUGAAAUGUCACAAAUAGGCGGUAAACUGUAAAUGAACCAUGAAUUUCGGUUCUAUGAGAUGGACAUAAACUCUAUUAUAUGAUUAUAAAAUAAGCAAUUCAUUCAUGGCAUUGAUCGGAGCAAGGUACCCCUUUUUUCUAUUUAGUUUGGUGAUUAUCAUCAAAAUUCAGCGAAAGGGAGAAAGGGGAAGAGAGGGCAGACUACAAUCUAGACCAUGCAUACGGAAUUCUCUCAUUACCUACCUAAUUAACAAUCACAAGGAUUCGUAUCUCCAUCUCCAUCUCUAUCUCUCUGUAAAAAAGGAUGGAAUUACAGAAAAUAAGAUUUAAUAAGAUAGACGAAUAUACGGAAAGCUUAAAUUGAGUAAUUGGAAUUUAAUAGGAAGCUUAAGUUGGUUGGGCCAAUAAAUAACCUUUACUGAAAAAUUACAUGACACGAAAAGCACAUCGAUCUACACAAGGACAAUUCAGAAAAGAUAAGAUCUGUCCUGUAUUUAAGAGCAAAUAAGUGGCAGAAAGUAGAUCAACCGACUGAUUGUAGCAAAUUAUUUCACCUGAUUGAAGAUUAGAUCGGCCUCAGCUAGCCAUGAUGGAUCUGGAUCCGGAUCCGCAUACGAUAAGAAGUAUACUACUGUAGUUCAUUCACACCUAAGCACGCGGUAAGAUAUAUAGAUCUAAAGGUAAUUGUGUCGUUGGGAAGGCAUAUGAUUAACUCGCAAUCAUUGGAGCAAAGACAAGAAGAAAAAUCAACCGGCCGGCCGCGGUAGAUGCUUGCGUAUCAUGGCCGGCCGCCAGAUUGAUUGCAAUCAGGGAGAAAGAGUCAAUUAGUUACCUGUAAUGGAUGACCCGUACGUGCGUACAGAUGGAUCGAAUU